RNAcentral lists this ribosomal RNA (465 nucleotides) under uncultured bacterium. Its description in RNAcentral is "partial 16S ribosomal RNA". It matches the Rfam family "Bacterial small subunit ribosomal RNA", at positions 338 to 795 of the family's 1533-position model. The record is from RNAcentral.
CCUACGGGUGGCAGCAGUAGGGAAUCUUCCACAAUGGGCGAAAGCCUGAUGCAGCAACGCCGCGUGGAUGAAGAAGGUCUUCGGAUCGUAAAACCCUGUUGUUAGAGAAGAAAGUGCGUGAGAGUAACUGUCCACGUUUCGACGGUAUCUAACCAGAAAGCCACGGCUAACUACGUGCCAGCAGCCGCGGUAAUACGGAGGUGGCAAGCGUUGUCCGGAUUGAUUGGGCGUAAAGGGAACGCAGGCGGUCUUUUAAGUCUUAUGUGAAAGCCUUCGGCUUAACCGGAGUAGUGCAUUGGAAACUGGGAGACUUGAGUGCAGAAGAGGAGAGUGGAACUCCAUGUGUAGCGGUGAAAUGCGUAGAUAUAUGGAAGAACACCAGUGGCGAAAGCGGCUCUCUGGUCUGUAACUGACGCUGAGGUUCGAAAGCGUGGGUAGCAAACAGGAUUAGAUACCCUUGUAGUC